This 244-nucleotide ribosomal RNA is filed under the name uncultured Actinomycetales bacterium. RNAcentral's name for it is "partial 16S ribosomal RNA". It matches the Rfam family "Bacterial small subunit ribosomal RNA", at positions 89 to 334 of the family's 1533-position model. Lineage: Bacteria; Bacillati; Actinomycetota; Actinomycetes; Actinomycetales. The record is from RNAcentral.
GGAUUAGUGGCGAACGGGUGAGUAACACGUGAGUAACCUGCCCUUGACUUCGGGAUAACUUCAGGAAACUGGGGCUAAUACCGGAUAGGAAUCCUUGCUGCAUGGUGGGGGUUGGAAAGCUUCGGCGGUUUUGGAUGGACUCGCGGCUUAUCAGCUUGUUGGUGGGGUAGUGGCUUACCAAGGCUUUGACGGGUAGCCGGCCUGAGAGGGCGACCGGCCACAUUGGGACUGAGAUACGGCCCAG